RNAcentral lists this ribosomal RNA (292 nucleotides) under uncultured bacterium. Its description in RNAcentral is "partial 16S ribosomal RNA". It matches the Rfam family "Bacterial small subunit ribosomal RNA", at positions 505 to 796 of the family's 1533-position model. The record is from RNAcentral.
GUGUCAGCAGCCGCGGUAAGACGUAGGAGGCGAGCGUUAUCCGGAUUCACUGGGCGUAAAGCGCAUGUAGGCGGUUGCACAAGUCCGUUGUUAAAGCCCCUGGCUCAACUGGGGGAGGUCAAUGGAGACUGUGCGACUUGAGGGCAGUAGAGGCACGUGGAACUCCCGGUGUAGCGGUGGAAUGCGUAGAGAUCGGGAAGAACACCAGUGGCGAAGGCGACGUGCUGGGCUGCAACUGACGCUGAGAUGCGAAAGUGUGGGGAGCAAACGGGAUUAGAUACCCCGGUAGUCC